UCGGCUUCAUUUUUGUAACUCGAGAGCUUCGGUGGGAUGAAGGAGAAGUGCAGGGAGAUGGACUCGAGUCGACGGGCGGAAGAGAUCUUCAGGGAUUACAGUGGUCGGAGAACCAAAGCCGUCCACGCUUUAACUAACGAGAAAGAGAGAGAGGUCGAGCAAGGUUUCGUCGAUUUCAGUCAACUUGGGCUACCCCCAACGUCCGGUAAGAUCCCUCGCUGAUCCCUUCUCUCUCCUAUGUCGUCUUACUCCACCGUUCGCAUCAGGAAGGCCCGUGCGUGGUUUUUUGGGUGGGGAUUUCAGAUUUCAAAGGGCAGAGAGGCUGUGCUUCGUUACGAUCGGGCCGAGCUUCUAUCUGCAAAUCGAGGCCCCGGUGAAGCAUAAGCAUUACAGGCCUGCGGUGAG
Molecule: long non-coding RNA, 405 nt
Organism: Pyrus x bretschneideri (Chinese white pear)
Lineage: Eukaryota; Viridiplantae; Streptophyta; Magnoliopsida; Rosales; Rosaceae
Exons: 3
Source: RefSeq, a predicted model, not a curated record